Molecule: ribosomal RNA, 253 nt
Filed under: uncultured bacterium
Lineage: Bacteria
Description: partial 16S ribosomal RNA
Rfam family: Bacterial small subunit ribosomal RNA
Source: RNAcentral
UACGAAGGGGGCGAGCGUUGUUCGGAUUUACUGGGCGUAAAGGGCGCGCAGGCGGCUCAUUUUGUCAGGCGUGAAAGCCCCGGGCUUAACCUGGGAACUGCGUUUGAUACGGAUGGGCUAGAGUUCGGGAGAGGAGAGUGGAAUUCCCAGUGUAGAGGUGAAAUUCGUAGAUAUUGGGAAGAACACCGGUGGCGAAGGCGGCUCUCUGGACCGAGGCUGACGCUGAGGCGCGAAAGCGUGGGGAGCAAACAGG